CCUACUGGGGUCUGCAGUGAGGAAUAUUGGUCAAUGGGAGAGAUCCUGAACCAGCCAAGCCGCGUGAAGGAAGACGGCCCUCUGGGUUGUACACCUCUUUUGUCGGAGAACAAAACCCGGGCCGUGUCCCGGACUGCGUGUAUCCGAAGAAAAAGCAUCGGCUACCUCCGUGCCAGCAGCCGCGGUACUACGGAGGAUGGGAGCGUUAUCCGGAUUUAUUGGGUUUACAGGGUGCGUAGGCGGUGCGUUACGUCGGCGGGAAAAGUGCGGGGCUCAACCCCGUCGAGCAGGUGAACAUGGCAGACUUGAGAUGGCGAGAAGUACGCGGAAUGCGCGGUGUAGCGGUGAAAUGCAUAGAGAUCGCGCAGAACUCCGAUUGCGAAGGCAGCGUACCGGCGCCAGACUGACGCUGAGGCACGAAAGCGUGGGGAUCGAACAGGAUUAGAUACCCUGGUAGUC
This 459-nucleotide ribosomal RNA is filed under the name uncultured bacterium. Its description in RNAcentral is "partial 16S ribosomal RNA". It matches the Rfam family "Bacterial small subunit ribosomal RNA", at positions 338 to 795 of the family's 1533-position model. The record is from RNAcentral.